RNAcentral lists this ribosomal RNA (245 nucleotides) under uncultured bacterium. Its description in RNAcentral is "partial 16S ribosomal RNA". It matches the Rfam family "Bacterial small subunit ribosomal RNA", at positions 103 to 334 of the family's 1533-position model. The record is from RNAcentral.
CGGGUGAGUAACGCGUAGGUAAUCUAUCCUUACAUUUGGGAUAACAUUGGGAAACUGGUGCUAAUACCGAAUGGUCUUCUUUGCUGCGGGGCGAAGGAGUAAAGGUGGCCUCUUCAUGAAAGCUACCGUGUAGGGAUGAGCCUGCGUACCAUUAGCUAGUAGGUGGGGUAACGGCCCACCUAGGCUACGAUGGUUAGCGGGUCUGAGAGGAUGAUCCGCCACACUGGAACUGAAACACGGACCAG